UUAACUAUUAGAUAGUACUCAGACAUCACUAACAUUCAGAGUUUGGUUCUCUGGCGGGCACACACGAGCAGAGCCCGCAGUGGAGGCCACGGCCCGCCAAAGCAACAAUAGUAUGUAAACACGGGUGGGUGUAAGCUCCUAACCGCUGUUUCCAACGUUCGGUAGCCUCACUUGUAAUGAUCCUUCCGCAGGUUCACCUACGGAAA
Molecule: unclassified non-coding RNA, 206 nt
Filed under: uncultured fungus
Lineage: Eukaryota; Fungi
Description: sequence contains ITS1
Source: RNAcentral